GCCUCUGUGGUUUAAUGGUAGUAGCACGCGUCGCCGGUAUGGAUGAAACGCGGGUUCGAUUCCCACCUGAGGCG
Non-coding RNA from Parelaphostrongylus tenuis, 74 nucleotides. Lineage: Eukaryota; Metazoa; Nematoda; Chromadorea; Rhabditida; Metastrongylidae. The record is from the annotation of a GenBank genome assembly.